Molecule: long non-coding RNA, 416 nt
Organism: Nothoprocta perdicaria
Lineage: Eukaryota; Metazoa; Chordata; Aves; Tinamiformes; Tinamidae
Exons: 3
Source: RefSeq, a predicted model, not a curated record
UGUCUACAAUGGCAUGCUAGACAGGGACAAUGAACAACAAACAUGGAAGGCCAUACUCAGACAUGGAAGGCCAUACUCGGAGACAGGCUGUGAAUAACACACAGGGAAAAACCACUAGCCGUUGGUGAAGGAGUCUGCAUUAACACGCCUUGCUCAGAGCUUCCCUACUCGCUGCUACUGUGUCUACCUGACAAGCCACGACUUGUUAGUCAGCUUUAUGUGUCUCCAUCUGAUUCAUCUUCCUAUAUCCCUAGUAUGUGGUUACUCUGCCCUUAGCAGGACUUGCUCUUAAAACGUUUCAAGCAUCCAUGAGGUCUGGUGUAAGCAUGAGCGUAAAGAAUGGUUUGUGAAGAGCCUUUUGGAAGUGAAGGAAGGCACAAUAACUUUCUGAAAUACCUGCUUAUAACAGCAUGCCA